GUAGGUGAACCUGCGGAAGGAUCAUUAUUGAAUAAACCUGAUGGGUUGUUGCUGGCUUCGUAGAAGUAUGUGCACGCCUGUCAUCUUUAUCCAUCCACCUGUGCACCCUUUGUAGUCUUGGAGGUAGCGAGCGCGAAGCAUCUCGGAGUAUCAUUCCUUGAUGCCAGUAGUGCAAGUUUCUCUGGGUCUAUGUCUUUCAUAUACCACGUAGAAUGUAACAGAAAGUCUUUAUUGGGCCUCAGUGCCUAUAAAACACAAUACAACUUUCAGCAACGGAUCUCUUGGCUCUC
RNAcentral lists this unclassified non-coding RNA (290 nucleotides) under rhizosphere metagenome. RNAcentral's name for it is "partial ribosomal RNA internal transcribed spacer region". The record is from RNAcentral.